RNAcentral lists this ribosomal RNA (235 nucleotides) under uncultured bacterium. Its description in RNAcentral is "partial 16S ribosomal RNA". It matches the Rfam family "Bacterial small subunit ribosomal RNA", at positions 104 to 334 of the family's 1533-position model. The record is from RNAcentral.
CGGGGUAGAGUAACGCGUGAGGAACCUGCCUCAAAGAGGGGGACAACAGUUGGAAACGACUGCUAAUACCGCAUAAGCCCACGGCUCGGCAUCGAGCAGAGGGAAAAGGAGCAAUCCGCUUUGAGAUGGCCUCGCGUCCGAUUAGCUAGUUGGUGAGGUAACGGCCCACCAAGGCGACGAUCGGUAGCCGGACUGAGAGGUUGAACGACCACAUUGGGACUGAGACACGGCCCAG